GUGGGGAAUAUUGCACAAUGGGCGGAAGCCUGAUGCAGCGACGCCGCGUGAGGGAUGACGGCCUUCGGGUUGUAAACCUCUUUCAGCAGGGACGAAGCGAAAGUGACGGUACCUGCAGAAGAAGCGCCGGCCAACUACGUGCCAGCAGCCGCGGUAAGACGUAGGGCGCGAGCGUUGUCCGGAUUUAUUGGGCGUAAAGAGCUCGUAGGCGGCUUGUCGCGUCGACUGUGAAAUCUCAGGGCUCAACUCUGACAUUGCAGUCGAUACGGGCAGGCUAGAGUUCGGUAGGGGAGACUGGAAUUCCUGGUGUAGCGGUGAAAUGCGCAGAUAUCAGGAGGAACACCGAUGGCGAAGGCAGGUCUCUGGGCCGAUACUGACGCUGAGGAGCGAAAGCGUGGGGAGCGAACAGGAUUAGAUACCCGAGUAGUCC
RNAcentral lists this ribosomal RNA (430 nucleotides) under uncultured bacterium. RNAcentral describes it as "bacterial SSU rRNA". It matches the Rfam family "Bacterial small subunit ribosomal RNA", at positions 354 to 796 of the family's 1533-position model. The record is from RNAcentral.